This 109-nucleotide ribosomal RNA is filed under the name Trichomonas vaginalis G3. Its description in RNAcentral is "5.8S ribosomal RNA". It matches the Rfam family "5.8S ribosomal RNA", at positions 1 to 111 of the family's 154-position model. From Rfam's summary of the family: 5.8S ribosomal RNA (5.8S rRNA) is a component of the large subunit of the eukaryotic ribosome. It is transcribed by RNA polymerase I as part of the 45S precursor that also contains 18S and 28S rRNA. Functionally, it is thought that 5.8S rRNA may be involved in ribosome translocation. The record is from Rfam by way of RNAcentral. Lineage: Eukaryota; Parabasalia; Trichomonadida; Trichomonadidae.
GUCUCUAAGCAAUGGAUGUCUUGGCUCCUCACACGAUGAAGAACGUGGCAUAAUGUGUUAAGUAACCGGAGUUGCAAACAUCAUGACAGGUUAAUCUUUGAAUGCAAAU